Molecule: ribosomal RNA, 465 nt
Filed under: uncultured bacterium
Lineage: Bacteria
Description: partial 16S ribosomal RNA
Rfam family: Bacterial small subunit ribosomal RNA
Source: RNAcentral
GACGAACGCUGGCGGCGUGCUUAACACAUGCAAGUCGAACGGAGAGGCCCUGCUUGCAGGGUACUCGAGUGGCGAACGGGUGAGUAACACGUGGGUGAUCUGCCCUGCACUUCGGGAUAAGCCUGGGAAACUGGGUCUAAUACCGGAUAUGACCUUCCAUGUAGUGUGGGGGGUGGAAAGAUUUAUCGGUGUGGGAUGAGCCCGCGGCCUAUCAGCUUGUUGGUGGGGUAAUGGCCUACCAAGGCGUCGACGGGUAGCCGGCCUGAGAGGGUGGACGGCCACAUUGGGACUGAGAUACGGCCCAGACUCCUACGGGAGGCAGCAGUGGGGAAUAUUGCACAAUGGGCGGAAGCCUUAUGCAGCGACGCCGCGUGGGGGAUGACGGCCUUCGGGUUGUAAACCUCUUUCGACAGGGACGAAGCUUCGGUGACGGUACCUGUAGAAGAAGCACCGGCUAACUACGUG